AGUGGCGGACGGGUGAGUAACGCGUGGGUAACCUGCCUCAUACAGGGGGAUAACAGUUAGAAAUGACUGCUAAUACCGCAUAAGACCACAGCACCGCAUGGUGCAGGGGUAAAAACUCCGGUGGUAUGAGAUGGACCCGCGUCUGAUUAGGUAGUUGGUGGGGUAACGGCCUACCAAGCCGACGAUCAGUAGCCGGCCUGAGAGGGUGAACGGCCACAUUGGGACUGAGACACGGCCCAA
This 240-nucleotide ribosomal RNA is filed under the name uncultured bacterium. RNAcentral describes it as "partial 16S ribosomal RNA". It matches the Rfam family "Bacterial small subunit ribosomal RNA", at positions 94 to 334 of the family's 1533-position model. The record is from RNAcentral.